UUAGUUGUUGCCCUUCUAACCCUAACCCUAGAUCCAGGGCCGCUGGGAGAGAUCUUAACCAUCCCAAUCCUCCUCAUCUCCAUGAUUAUCUUGACUAUGAUCCCUUCAUAGAGCCAAUAGUCCUUCCUAUUGCUCUUCUCCUUGGCCUUCUCCUCCUUCCUGAUCAGCUCUUCCAACGCUGAGGAACCGUCUUUCGCUCCACCUCCACUGACGCGGUGCAUUUCUUCUCAGCCUUUUCGGGUUCGAGAUCCUCACCAAAUGCAAUCUUUGGACGCUUGGGUUCGCCUCUCAAUCCUGGAUCUCGGCGGCGUACAUCUCGGCUGCUACGCCGUCUCCUCGAUCCAAUCAAUCGCUGCCUCGGCUUCCUUGAUGUCUCUCAACGCGCUGAUGGGGAUGAGUUCUUGAAGGUCCACGCCGACUACGCCACUCUCUCCAAUCCUGAGAAACACGUUGAUUAUGAUAAGAAAAUGGCCGUGAUCUGGAGCUGUUACCUUGCGCCGCUGCAGGGAUCAAGUCAGGAAGCUCAAGUAGUCAACUUUUCAUUUGGGGAUGAAGGAUAACAUCUUCUUAGGUAACCAAACAGUCCUCUUUUCCAAGUUUGAUGCUCAAUUUCUUAAGGAAAGUGGCUGGAUAAGUGUCAAGUUGGUAUUAAUGGUGUCAAUCUUAAGCUCUGCGGGACCUCCAUGACAUCUGCUAGCCCUUUGCUGCCUUCAUUGAUUGUGGAAAAUCAGAGUUGCGUAGUUUGAACAUGAAGAGCUUCAGCUUGAGUAAUUUAACCCAUUAAAAGAAGGGUUCUAGCAGCUGGGAAAUUGAGGAUGAGGAGGCCUAUUAAAACUGGAAAUUGAGGAUGAGGCGGCCUAUUAAAACUGGUUUUGCUUCAAUCCCAGUUUUGAUUUUCUGAUUUGAUUUAUUUUUUUAUUAAUUUAUUGAUUUGUAGGAAAUUGAGGAUGAGGACGCCUAUUAAAGCUCCUGCUAAAAGUCACAGGCUUGCUGAUUUUCCUCCUGAAGAAUAUUAAUGAAGUAUGGGCAAAAGCCAAUCAAAGGUUCUCCC
Long non-coding RNA from Dioscorea cayenensis subsp. rotundata (Guinea yam), 1051 nucleotides. RefSeq lists it as uncharacterized. The record is from RefSeq and is a predicted model, not a curated record. Lineage: Eukaryota; Viridiplantae; Streptophyta; Magnoliopsida; Dioscoreales; Dioscoreaceae. The transcript is spliced from 3 exons.